GUCUGUUAAUGACAGAAAAAUGAAAAUAUUGUGAGAGGUUAAAGGGCUAAAUUUCCCCAUACCAUUACAGCUACAUCAGCUCCUGUUUUAUGGGCCACUUACUGAUGCUUGCCUGCUUUCUCUAAAAUUAUUAAUAAUCUUUUAGAUAUGAAAUCUGAAGGCCUUCUUGAAAUCAUCAUUCUCCUUGGCCUCUGGGUAGAAUUUGACACUUUGCUUCUUUUGCCUCCUGAAAACUUUUUUCUUUCUUGGUUUUUGUGACAUUACUUUAUGCUGGUUCUCCUCUUGCCUGUCUAACCACUCCUCAAUCUCUUGUGCUGAAUCAUCUUACAUGUUCCAUGCCCAAGAAUUACAUAGAUGACUGACCUGGGAGAGAUAAUGUGCUUACAAGUGGACAUUUUUUUAAAGAUGAAAUUGAUCCCAAAGAGAUUUAAUGAAUAAGUUGGCCAAAGUCACACAGGGAAAGAAACAGAUACAAAAGAGGAAGAGGAAGAACUGCAAACCAGAUAACGACGGACAGAAAAAAAAAGAAAAAACUAAAUGUCGAAAAACUCCAAAAUACAGCCGGAAAAAAACAACGCGUUUUCUCUUAAAUUGAAUAAGGUCGUUUAGAUCCUGUUUCCUUCGAGUGUCAGGAUGGCCGAGUGGUCUAAGGCGCCAGACUCAAGGUUCUACCUUCCUCGCUGAGUGUUCUGGUCUCCGUAUGGAGGCGUGGGUUCAAAUCCCACUUCUGACACACUGAUUUUCUUCCUUUGACUUGAAUCUUUUCUCCCCACUCCCAUCAGUAAUUUGUACAUGCCACGUAC
This 803-nucleotide transfer RNA is filed under the name Monodelphis domestica (gray short-tailed opossum). RNAcentral's name for it is "lncRNA (ENSMODG00000044107.1)". The stretch from base 628 to 733 matches the Rfam family "tRNA". Lineage: Eukaryota; Metazoa; Chordata; Mammalia; Didelphimorphia; Didelphidae. The record is from RNAcentral.